Molecule: transfer RNA, 65 nt
Filed under: Curculionoidea sp. 30 KM-2017
Lineage: Eukaryota; Metazoa; Arthropoda; Insecta; Coleoptera
Description: tRNA-Tyr
Source: RNAcentral
GGUAAAGUGGCUGAAUUUAGGCGGUAAAUUGUAAAUUUAUGUAUGGAUAUAAAAUCCCUUUAUCA